This 301-nucleotide ribosomal RNA is filed under the name uncultured bacterium. RNAcentral's name for it is "partial 16S ribosomal RNA". It matches the Rfam family "Bacterial small subunit ribosomal RNA", at positions 509 to 809 of the family's 1533-position model. The record is from RNAcentral.
CAGCAGCCACGGUAAUACGUAGGGUGCGAGCGUUAAUCGGAAUUACUGGGCGUAAAGCGUGCGCAGGCGGUUCGUUAAGACAGAUGUGAAAUCCCCGGGCUUAACCUGGGAACUGCAUUUGUGACUGGCGGGCUAGAGUAUGGCAGAGGGGGGUAGAAUUCCACGUGUAGCAGUGAAAUGCGUAGAGAUGUGGAGGAAUACCGAUGGCGAAGGCAGCCCCCUGGGCCAAUACUGACGCUCAUGCACGAAAGCGUGGGGAGCAAACAGGAUUAGAUACCCGUGUAGUCCCUGUCUCUUAUAU